Molecule: ribosomal RNA, 254 nt
Filed under: uncultured bacterium
Lineage: Bacteria
Description: partial 16S ribosomal RNA
Rfam family: Bacterial small subunit ribosomal RNA
Source: RNAcentral
UACGUAGGAGGCGAGCGUUGUCCGGAAUUACUGGGCGUAAAGAGCGCGUAGGCGGCACUGUACGACCGCUGUGAAAGCCCCCGGCUCAACUGGGGAGGGUCAGUGGUAACGGCAGAGCUGUGAGUGCAGGAGAGGGAAGUGGAACUCCGGGAGUAGCGGUGGAAUGCGCAGAUAUCAGGAAGAACACCAACGGCGAAGGCAGCUCGCUGGGACGGUACUGACGCUGAGACGCGAAAGCGUGGGGAGCGAACAGG